UAACACCCACUGGAGGUCCGAACCAGUGCCCGUUGAAAAGGUCUUGGAUGACGUGUGGCUAGGGGUGAAAGGCCAAUCAAACUCGGAAAUAGCUGGUUCUCCGCGAAAGCUAUUUAGGUAGCGCCUCGAGUGAAUACCGUGCGGGGUAGAGCACUGGAUGGGCUAGGGCCGCCCACAGCGGUACCAAACCCAACCAAACUCCGAAUACGCACGAGU
RNAcentral lists this ribosomal RNA (216 nucleotides) under Hemiselmis andersenii. RNAcentral describes it as "partial Bacterial large subunit ribosomal RNA". It matches the Rfam family "Bacterial large subunit ribosomal RNA", at positions 757 to 970 of the family's 2925-position model. The record is from RNAcentral. Lineage: Eukaryota; Cryptophyceae; Cryptomonadales; Hemiselmidaceae.